CCAGCAUUGUGAAUUCAAAAUUGAAAGAAAAGACUCUUACAGGUUUUAUUCUACAGCUGCAAUAAUUGUGAAGACAUGCUGCUGUUGCUGCACAUCUCAAUAUUAUAACAUAUCAAGGCCUUUCUGCAGGGCGUCUAGCUACACCUAAGAGCCAUUCACAGUCUGGGAAUGUUCUUUUUUUGGAAGCAAAAUUUAACACUAUCUUUGGGCUACAUACCUGAAGAAAUUUCUUCUACUUGAAAGCACCUGUGCUCCCCUUCCUUAAUUUCACUUGCUCUCUCCAACUGAGACCUCUUCUCAUGCUUAGUCAUUCAGCAACCAGAAUUAGUUGUGGUCGGCUGCUGUAGUUAAUUGCGCAUAGGAAGUAAUGCUAAUCCAUUAAAAUAAAGAUCACAUGGAGCAGAUGUCUAUCACAUCUAGUCCUUAAUUUCAAGUCAUUCUCAAACUGAGAACUACAAAUAAAACAGUAGGCAGUGAAAAAGGCUGUGAAGGGAACUGUGGAGCAAAGCCAAGCCCACCAUCGUAGAAACUCUACUACAAGAAUAUCGAUAGAUGCAAUUGGCAGAGAUUUAAAGACAUUCCCUUUCCCCUAUGAGCCACCAAAAAGGAAGAGGAUGUGUUCUGAUUUUUGAAAAUUUUCUAAAAAUAAAGGAGAUACCAAUAAACCAAGGAAUUUUAAGUAGCAGCUGCUUCACUCAAAGCUGACUGCAAUGAACUGAGGGCUUUACAGACCAAGGAUGUUUUGAAUGCUGGUGAUGCUGGAGGUGGGGAGCAUCCAAAAAGGAAACAAGAGAAUCAUCUUUAGGGGACACGGGGACCGAGACUCCUUGAACCGUGAAGUUUGACUGAGCAGCUGAUGCAGGUUUAUCUGAGAUGCUGAGCUGCCUGCUGUUUGUUUAUCCUACCCUUCUCAAGGAACCUGCACUUUGUGCUUAUUUUCUGUAAAUAAACAAGAUUACACCAAAU
Long non-coding RNA from Zonotrichia leucophrys gambelii, 966 nucleotides. RefSeq lists it as uncharacterized. The transcript has 3 exons. The record is from RefSeq and is a predicted model, not a curated record. NCBI's taxonomy places the organism in Eukaryota, Metazoa, Chordata, Aves, Passeriformes, Passerellidae.